This 383-nucleotide ribosomal RNA is filed under the name uncultured bacterium. RNAcentral's name for it is "bacterial SSU rRNA". It matches the Rfam family "Bacterial small subunit ribosomal RNA", at positions 30 to 414 of the family's 1533-position model. The record is from RNAcentral.
AUUGAACGCUGGCGGCAUGCCUUACACAUGCAAGUCGAACGGCAGCACGGGAGCAAUCCUGGUGGCGAGUGGCGAACGGGUGAGUAAUAUAUCGGAACGUGCCCAGUCGUGGGGAUAACGUAGCGAAAGCUACGCUAAUACCGCAUACGAUCUAUGGAUGAAAGCGGGGGAUCGCAAGGACCUCGCGCGAUUGGAGCGGCCGAUAUCAGAUUAGGUAGUUGGUGAGGUAAAGGCUCACCAAGCCGACGAUCUGUAGCUGGUCUGAGAGGACGACCAGCCACACUGGGACUGAGACACGGCCCAGACUCCUACGGGAGGCAGCAGUGGGAAUUUUGGACAAUGGGCGCAAGCCUGAUCCAGCAAUGCCGCGUGCAGGAUGAAGG